RNAcentral lists this ribosomal RNA (325 nucleotides) under uncultured eukaryote. RNAcentral describes it as "partial 18S ribosomal RNA". It matches the Rfam family "Eukaryotic small subunit ribosomal RNA", at positions 1470 to 1796 of the family's 1831-position model. The record is from RNAcentral.
CCCUUAGAUGUUCUGGGCCGCACGCGCGCUACACUGACUGGUGCAACAAGUGUCGCUCCUUGGCCGAUAGGCCUGGGCAAUCUUUGAACGCCAGUCGUGAUGGGGAUAGAUUCUUGCAAUUUUUGAUCUUCAACGAGGAAUUCCUAGUAAACGCGAGUCAUCAACUCGCAUUGAUUACGUCCCUGCCCUUUGUACACACCGCCCGUCGCACCUACCGAUUGAAUGGUCCGGUGAACCCCCCGGAUCGGCCCGCGCCAACGCAAGUUGAGCAAAGGCCGAGAAGUUGGGUAAACCUUACCAUUUAGAGGAAGGUGAAGUCGUAACA